This 359-nucleotide long non-coding RNA is filed under the name Nicotiana benthamiana. RNAcentral's name for it is "long non-coding RNA (NBEN_LNC016903)". The record is from RNAcentral. Lineage: Eukaryota; Viridiplantae; Streptophyta; Magnoliopsida; Solanales; Solanaceae.
UUUCAGUUUGUUUCUUCAGGACAGAUUGGUCGGCUAUCAAUUACGACCCUACCCAUACUUUUUCCGUUUGAUUCCGACAACUUUCAGUUUUUUCCGGCGACUUUAUUGACUUUUCCGGCAGCUACAGUACUUUCCGGCCAGAAUUUCUUCAGGACAGUUUGCUCAACCUUGAAUUCCGAGCCUAUUCAUAUUUUUAUUUUUCAAUUCCGACAACUUUGAAUUUUUCCGGCAGCUACAGUGUUCCAGUUUUCCGGCAGCGCUUGAAUUCCGAGCCUAUCCAUAUUUUUACUUUUCAAUUCCGACAACUUUGAAUUUUUCCGGCAGCUACAGUGCUUUUCCGGCAACUACAGUGUUCAUGU